This 253-nucleotide ribosomal RNA is filed under the name uncultured bacterium. RNAcentral's name for it is "partial 16S ribosomal RNA". It matches the Rfam family "Bacterial small subunit ribosomal RNA", at positions 524 to 776 of the family's 1533-position model. The record is from RNAcentral.
UACGUAGGUGGCAAGCGUUGUUCGGAAUCAUUGGGCGUAAAGGGCAUGUAGGCUGUUAUGUAAGUGUGGAUUUAAAGGCGUAGGCUUAACCUAUCGCAUGGUCUGCAAACUACAUGACUAGAGUACAGAAGGGGAAACUGGAAUUCCACGUGUAGGGGUGAAAUCUGUAGAGAUGUGGAAGAAUACCUGUGGCGAAGGCGAGUUUCUGGUCUGUUACUGACGCUGAAAUGCGAAAGUGCGGGGAGCAAACAGG